This 624-nucleotide ribosomal RNA is filed under the name uncultured organism. RNAcentral's name for it is "bacterial SSU rRNA". It matches the Rfam family "Bacterial small subunit ribosomal RNA", at positions 835 to 1469 of the family's 1533-position model. The record is from RNAcentral.
GAGGCUCUGUGCCGGAGCGAACGCGAUAAGCAUCCCGCCUGGGGAACUACGGCCGCAAGGCUAAAACUCGAACGAAUUGACGGGGACCCGCACAAGCAGCGGAGCGUGUGGUUUAAUUCGAUGCUACACGAAGAACCUUACCUGGGUUUGACAUGCUGGUGGUACCGAACCGAAAGGGGAGGGACCCUUCGGGGAGCCAACACAGGUGCUGCAUGGCUGUCGUCAGCUCGUGCCGUGAGGUGUCGGGUUAAGUCCCGUAACGAGCGCAACCCUUGCUCUUAGUUAUACGUGUCUAAGGGGACUGCCGGCGACAAGCCGGAGGAAGGUGGGGAUGACGUCAAGUCAGCAUGGCCUUGAUAUCCAGGGCUACACACACGCUACAAUGGCCGGUACAAAGGGCAGCCAAGCCGCGAGGUGGAGCGAAUCCCAGCAAAGCCGGUCCCAGUUCGGAUUGCAGGCUGCAACCCGCCUGCAUGAAGUUGGAGUUGCUAGUAACCGCGCGUCAGCCAUAGUGCGGUGAAUACGUACCCGGGUCUUGUACACACCGCCCGUCACGUCAUGGGAGUUGGCAACGCCUGACAGCGGUAGCCUAACCGAAAGGAAGGCGCCGACUAAGGCGGGGCU